Molecule: ribosomal RNA, 773 nt
Filed under: Salegentibacter sp.
Lineage: Bacteria; Pseudomonadati; Bacteroidota; Flavobacteriia; Flavobacteriales; Flavobacteriaceae
Description: bacterial SSU rRNA
Rfam family: Bacterial small subunit ribosomal RNA
Source: RNAcentral
UUGAUUGCGGAGUCUAACACAUGCAAGUCGAGGGGUAACAUAGGGAGAGCUUGCUUUUUCGCUGACGACCGGCGCACGGGUGCGUAACGCGUAUACAACCUACCUUUUGGAGGGGAAUAGCCCAGGGAAACUUGGAUUAAUGCCCCAUAGUAUGGGAAUUUCUCCUGAUAUUUAUAUUAAACAUUUAUGGCUAUUAGAUGGGUAUGCGUCCUAUUAGUUAGUUGGUAAGGUAACGGCUUACCAAGGCAGCGAUAGGUAGGGGUCCUGAGAGGGAGAUCCCCCACACUGGUACUGAGACACGGACCAGACUCCUACGGGAGGCAGCAGUGAGGAAUAUUGGACAAUGGGCGAGAGCCUGAUCCAGCCAUGCCGCGUGCAGGAAGACUGCCCUAUGGGUUGUAAACUGCUUUUACAGAGGAAGAACCACCCCCACGUGUGGGAGUUUGACGGUACUCUGCGAAUAAGGAUCGGCUAACUCCGUGCCAGCAGCCGCGGUAAUACGGAGGAUCCAAGCGUUAUCCGGAAUCAUUGGGUUUAAAGGGUCCGUAGGCGGGCAGUUAAGUCAGUGGUGAAAGUCUUCCGCUCAACGGGAGAACUGCCAUUGAUACUGAUUGUCUUGAGUUAUUAUGAAGUGGUUAGAAUGAGUAGUGUAGCGGUGAAAUGCAUAGAUAUUACUCAGAAUACCGAUUGCGAAGGCAGAUCACUAAUAAUAUACUGACGCUGAUGGACGAAAGCGUAGGUAGCGAACAGGAUUAGAUACCCUUGUUAGUCAA